UGAGUGUCACGGGAGUACCAUCUCUUUACCUUGGCAAGAGCAGAUCCUUCAUAUCUGUAGUUGAAUCACACACUCUCAGAUAUCUGAGCUUGAAUUCUACAGGGACACUUAUCCCAGCUUUUGAAUUUUAGGAGAAAUAGCCUGCAGACCAGAGAAUAAGGAAAAGUUGUUUCCUGCCAAAGAACAAGCAGUAGUGUGAAAUAUAAAAUUUUAUUGUUGCGGUGAAAGAAAAUUUCAGUAUUAAAUUUUUGAAAACACCAUGUAAGAGAUGCCUGCUUUCCCUUCACCUUCCGGCAUGAUUGUAAGUUUCCUGAGGCCUCUCCAGACAUGCUUCCUGUACAGCCUGUAGAACUAUUCUGACACCUCCACUUCACACAAAACACUCCACUUUAGAGUUCGUUGGCCCCUUAAAGUAAGUUUUACAAGUCAAACCUUGAACCAGCAUGAAAAUAGCUUUAUCUCAUGUGUGGUCCACACUAGGUCCUUGGUAAAUAUUCAGUCUCAUCUCAUUUUCCUACAGUUCCGAGUAUAGCUACUUUCUAGAUACAGCAACACCCUAUCUUAACUUUUCCUUCCACCUUAUCUUAGCUUUUCCUUCCAGGCAACUUGACAGAAUAUCUCUCUUGCCCUCCGCAUUCCUUGAGAUGGAAGUCAGACCCAGGUCACUGCAUUCCCCUAGAUACAAGGAAUCUAUAUCAAAUUAUCUCAGUGUACCAACAAGGCUUGAGUAGAGGGUUAGAUACUUCCCAACUUGUACCCCUAGGGUUAAAGAAGUAGAACUUAAAUCACAACUUUGCCCUUAAAAUACAUUGUAAAAAUGUCUCACUUUUC
This is a long non-coding RNA of Pan troglodytes (chimpanzee), 831 nucleotides long. RefSeq lists it as uncharacterized. Lineage: Eukaryota; Metazoa; Chordata; Mammalia; Primates; Hominidae. The transcript is spliced from 4 exons. The record is from RefSeq and is a predicted model, not a curated record.